AAGUCGUAACAAGGUUUCCGUAGGUGAACCUGCGGAAGGAUCAUUAACGAGUUAGGGUCUCUCUGGCCCGACCUCCCAACCCUUUGUCUACUUGACCAUCGUUGCUUCGGCGAGCCCGUCCUCACGGACCGCCGGAGGGAUCUUUACUGGCCCUCUGGUCCGCGCUCGUCGGUAGCCCAACCUUUAAAAUCUUUAACUAAACGUGCCUUAAUCUAAGUACAAUUAUUAAAUAAAAGCAAAACUUUCAACAACGGAUCUCUUGGUUCUGGCAUCGAUGAAGAACGCAGCGAAAUGCGAUAAGUAAUGCGAAUUGCAGAAUUCCAGUGAGUCAUCGAAUCUUUGAACGCACAUUGCGCCCUUUGGUAUUCCGAAGGGCAUGCCUGUUCGAGCGUCAUUGUCACCCCUCAAGCCCUCGGCUUGGUGUUGGACGGUUUGGUGGAGGCCCCCUCGGGGGCUCCUGCCCCUCCCAAAGACAAUGACGGCGGCCUCGUUGGACCCCCGGUACACUGAGUUCUUCACGGGACACGUAUCGGACACAUGGGUUUACGGGACACGGUCUGCCUCCCCUCAGGGAGAAUCUUUCUAAGGUUGACCUCGGAUCAGGUAGGGAUACCCGCUGAACUUAAGCAUAUCAAUAAGCGGAGGAAAAGAAACCAACAGGGAUUGCCUCAGUAACGGCGAGUGAAGCGGCAACAGCUCAAAUUUGAAAUCUGGCCUCUUUGGGGUCCGAGUUGUAAUUUGUAGAGGAUGUUUCGGGUACCGCCUCGGUUUAAAUUUCUUGGAACAGAAUGUCAAAGAGGGUGAGAAUCCCGUCUUGGACCGGCGGUAGGGCCCAUGUGAAACUCCUUCGACGAGUCGAGUUGUUUGGGAAUGCAGCUCAAAAUGGGUGGUAAAUUUCAUCUAAAGCUAAAUAUUGGCCAGAGACCGAUAGCGCACAAGUAGAGUGAUCGAAAGAUGAAAAGCACUUUGAAAAGAGAGCUAAACAGUAUGUGAAAUUGUUGAAAGGGAAGCGCUUACAACCAGACUUGCGCGCGGCGGUUCCCCCUUCCUUUUGGUUGGGCUACUCCGUCGUGUCCAGGCCAACAUCGGUUCUGGGGGUCGGUUAAAGACCCUGGGAAUGUAUCUACCCUUCGGGCGUAGACUUAUAGCUCAGGGUGUCAUGCGACCUCCCGGGACCGAGGAACGCGCUUCGGCUCGGAUGUUGGCGUAAUGGUUGUCAGCGACC
RNAcentral lists this ribosomal RNA (1225 nucleotides) under uncultured Exophiala. RNAcentral describes it as "eukaryotic LSU rRNA". The stretch from base 590 to 1225 matches the Rfam family "Eukaryotic large subunit ribosomal RNA", at positions 1 to 649 of the family's 3401-position model. The record is from RNAcentral. Lineage: Eukaryota; Fungi; Ascomycota; Eurotiomycetes; Chaetothyriales; Herpotrichiellaceae.